AUCUUUCGGGGGCGAGUCUGCUCCUUCCUAUCACUCUCAGCCAGCAGGUGAUCCUUACUGCCCAGCAUUGUGCCAGCUAGUGGGGGCGAGUCUGCUCCACCCUAUCACUCUCAGCCAGCAGGUGAUCCUCACUGUCCAGCAUUGUGCCAGCUAGCGGCACAGUCCGCUCCUUCUUCGCUCAGCCAGCAGGCGAUCCUCACUGCCCAGCAUUGUGCCAGCG
Molecule: non-coding RNA, 220 nt
Organism: Pelobates cultripes (western spadefoot toad)
Lineage: Eukaryota; Metazoa; Chordata; Amphibia; Anura; Pelobatidae
Source: the annotation of a GenBank genome assembly